UGCUAAUACCGGAUAACAACACUAGACGCAUGUCUAGAGUUUAAAAGAAUGGUUCUGCUAUCACUCUUGGAUGGACCUGCGGUGCAUUAGCUAGUUGGUAAGGCAACGGCUUACCAAGGCAAUGAUGCAUAGCCGAGUUGAGAGACUGAUCGGCCACAUUGAGACUGAGACACGGCCCAAACUCCUACGGGAGGCAGCAGCC
RNAcentral lists this ribosomal RNA (202 nucleotides) under uncultured bacterium. RNAcentral's name for it is "partial 16S ribosomal RNA". It matches the Rfam family "Bacterial small subunit ribosomal RNA", at positions 161 to 355 of the family's 1533-position model. The record is from RNAcentral.